GAUGAACGCUGGCGGCGUGCCUAAUACAUGCAAGUCGAGCGAACAGACGAGGAGCUUGCUCCUCUGACGUUAUCGGCGGACGGGUGAGUAACACGUGGAUAAACUAACUCUAAGACUGGGAUAACUUCAGGAAACCGGAGCUAAUACCGGAUAAUAUAUUGAACCGCAUGGUUCAAUAGUGAAAGACGGUUUUGCUGUCACUUAUAGAUGGCUCCGCGCCGCAUUAGCUAGUUGGUAAGGUAACGGCUUACCAAGGCAACGAUGCGUAGCCGCCCUGAGAGGGGGAGCUGCCACGCUGGAAUUGAGGGACGGUCCAGACUCCUGCGGGAGGCAGCAGUAGGGAAUCUUCCGCAAUGGGCGAAGGCUGGACGAAGCAACGCCGCGCGAGUGAUGAAGGUCUUCGGAUCGUAAAACUCUGUUAUUAGGGAGGAACGAAUGUGUAAUUAACUAUGCACGUCUUGACGGUACCUAAGCAGAAAGCCACGGCUAACUACGUU
RNAcentral lists this ribosomal RNA (497 nucleotides) under uncultured bacterium. RNAcentral describes it as "partial 16S ribosomal RNA". It matches the Rfam family "Bacterial small subunit ribosomal RNA", at positions 28 to 507 of the family's 1533-position model. The record is from RNAcentral.